AAGCGUUGUUCGGAUUUAUUGGGCGUAAAGCGCGUGUAGGCGGCUUCUUAAGUCUGAUGUGAAAGCCCUGGGCUCAACCCGGGAAGUGCAUUGGAAACUGGGAAACUUGAAUACGGGAGAGGGUAGUGGAAUUCCUGGUGUAGGAGUGAAAUCCGUAGAUAUCAGGAGGAACACCGGUGGCGAAGGCGGCUACCUGGACCGAUAUUGACGCUGAGACGCGAAAGCGUGGGUAGCAAACAGGAUUAGAUACCCUGGUAGUCCACGCCGUAAACGAUGAGUACUAGGUGUUGCGGGUAUUGACCCCUGCAGUGCC
RNAcentral lists this ribosomal RNA (313 nucleotides) under uncultured delta proteobacterium. RNAcentral describes it as "bacterial SSU rRNA". It matches the Rfam family "Bacterial small subunit ribosomal RNA", at positions 536 to 847 of the family's 1533-position model. Lineage: Bacteria; Deltaproteobacteria. The record is from RNAcentral.